ACUAGAAUGAACGGCUAAAUGAAGACUCAACUGUCUCUUGCAGCCCACCAAUGAAACUGAUCUCUUAGUCCAAAAGCUAAGAUUUAUCCACAAGACGAGAAGACCCUGUGGAGCUUAUAAACUAAGCCCACGAAAAUGGCCCCUUAGUUUUCAGUUGGGGCGACUUCGGAGCACAAAAAACCCUCCGACAAAGUAACUUAACUAAGAUGGACACAUCAAAAAUUACCCUAGACCCAGCAGCCUACAGGCUGCCUGAUCAAGGAACCAAGUUACCCCAGGGAUAACAGCGCCAUCCUCUCUUAGAGUCCCUAUCGACGAGAGGGCUUACGACCUCGAUGUUGGAUCAGGACAACCAAAUAGUGCAACCGCUAUUGAUG
This 377-nucleotide ribosomal RNA is filed under the name Acanthodactylus gongrorhynchatus. RNAcentral's name for it is "partial 16S ribosomal RNA". It matches the Rfam family "Archaeal large subunit ribosomal RNA", at positions 2063 to 2639 of the family's 2987-position model. The record is from RNAcentral. Lineage: Eukaryota; Metazoa; Chordata; Lepidosauria; Squamata; Lacertidae.